UAGCCCUACGGGGCGCAGCAGUGAGGAAUAUUGGUCAAUGGGCGGAAGCCUGAACCAGCCAAGUCGCGUGAGGGAAUAAGGCCCUACGGGUCGUAAACCUCUUUUGCCGGGGAGCAAGGGCCGGGACGCGUCCCGGACCGGAGAGUACCCGGAGAAAAAGCAUCGGCUAAAUCCGUGCCAGCAGCCGCGGUAAUACGGAGGAUGCGAGCGUUAUCCGGAUUUAUUGGGUUUAAAGGGUGCGUAGGCGGGCAUUUAAGUCAGCGGUAAAAAUUCGGGG
This 277-nucleotide ribosomal RNA is filed under the name uncultured bacterium. RNAcentral's name for it is "partial 16S ribosomal RNA". It matches the Rfam family "Bacterial small subunit ribosomal RNA", at positions 334 to 607 of the family's 1533-position model. The record is from RNAcentral.